GUGUUCAAAGCAGGCAGAUCCAAUUUUCUGCCACCGAAUACAUUAGCAUGGGAUAAUGGAAUAGGACCCUGUCCUCCUAUUUUCAGUUGGUUUUGGCAGCGCGAGGACUAGGGUAAUGAUUAAUAGGGAUAGUUGGGGGCAUUAAUAUUUAAUUGUCAGAGGUGAAAUUCUUGGAUUUAUGAAAGAUUAACUUCUGCGAAAGCAUCUGCCAAGGAUGUUUUCAUUAAUCAAGAACGAAAGUUAGGGGAUCGAAGACGAUCAGAUACCGUCGUAGUCUUAACCAUAAACGAUGCCGACCAGCGAUUAGGAGACGUUGAAUACAAAACACCACCAUCGGCGCGGUCGUCCUUGGCGUCGGUCCUUCACGGGGCCGGCGCGAGGGCGGCUUAGCCCGG
RNAcentral lists this ribosomal RNA (395 nucleotides) under Acanthamoeba sp. Its description in RNAcentral is "SSU rRNA". It matches the Rfam family "Eukaryotic small subunit ribosomal RNA", at positions 771 to 1101 of the family's 1831-position model. The record is from RNAcentral. Lineage: Eukaryota; Discosea; Longamoebia; Acanthamoebidae.